Molecule: non-coding RNA, 104 nt
Organism: Acanthosepion pharaonis
Lineage: Eukaryota; Metazoa; Mollusca; Cephalopoda; Sepiida; Sepiidae
Source: the annotation of a GenBank genome assembly
CGGCCACGUCGCAUUGAAACACCGGUUCCCGUACGAUCACCGAAGUUAAGCAACUUAGGGCCUGAUCAGAUAGGUGAUCAUUUGGGAAUAACUGGUGCUGUAAG